Molecule: ribosomal RNA, 426 nt
Filed under: uncultured bacterium
Lineage: Bacteria
Description: bacterial SSU rRNA
Rfam family: Bacterial small subunit ribosomal RNA
Source: RNAcentral
GACGAACGCUGGCGGCGUGCUUAACACAUGCAAGUCGAACGAUGAACCACUUCGGUGGGGAUUAGUGGCGAACGGGUGAGUAACACGUGGGCAAUCUGCCCUUCACUCUGGGACAAGCCCUGGAAACGGGGUCUAAUACCGGAUAACACUGCCACGGGCAUCUGUGGUGGUUAAAAGCUCCGGCGGUGAAGGAUGAGCCCGCGGCCUAUCAGCUUGUUGGUGAGGUAAUGGCCACCAAGGCGACGACGGGUAGCCGGCCUGAGAGGCGACCGGCCACACUGGGACUGAGACACGGCCAAACUCCUACGGGAGGCAGCAGUGGGGAAUAUUGGACAAUGGCGCAAGCCUGAUCCAGCCAUGCCGCGUGAGUGAUGAAGGCCCUAGGGUUGUAAAGCUCUUUCGCCGGUGAAGAUAAUGACGGUAACC